UCCGUAGGCGGUUUUGUAAGUCAGUGGUGAAAGCCCAUCGCUCAACGGUGGAACGGCCAUUGAUACUGCAAGACUUGAAUUAUUAGGAAGUAACUAGAAUAUGUAGUGUAGCGGUGAAAUGCUUAGAGAUUACAUGGAAUACCAAUUGCGAAGGCAGGUUACUACUAAUUGAUUGACGCUGAUGGACGAAAGCGUGGGAGCGAACA
This 206-nucleotide ribosomal RNA is filed under the name uncultured bacterium. Its description in RNAcentral is "partial 16S ribosomal RNA". It matches the Rfam family "Bacterial small subunit ribosomal RNA", at positions 568 to 774 of the family's 1533-position model. The record is from RNAcentral.